AUGGCCAUACCAUGCUGAAUACACACACCGGUUCUCGUCCGAUAACCGAAGUUAAGCAACAAUGGGCGUGGUUAGUACUUGGAUGGGUGAACGCUUGGGAACACCACGUGUUGUUG
This 116-nucleotide ribosomal RNA is filed under the name Hodotermopsis sjostedti. Lineage: Eukaryota; Metazoa; Arthropoda; Insecta; Blattodea; Termopsidae. The record is from RNAcentral.